Long non-coding RNA from Carassius auratus (goldfish), 217 nucleotides. RefSeq lists it as uncharacterized. Lineage: Eukaryota; Metazoa; Chordata; Actinopteri; Cypriniformes; Cyprinidae. The record is from RefSeq and is a predicted model, not a curated record. The transcript has 3 exons.
CAGAGCGGAGUAAACUCAGACAGUGAGGAAACACAGACCGCAGAAUUACAACCAUGAAGGCUGUGAAUGCAGUGCAACUGUUCUCUCUGUUUUGGACCUUUACUGCUCUCUGUCAAGCUGAUGAAGAUAUCAGUGUAAGCUGUGAGAAAGUGACUGGAUCUGUGGGGAAGGAAGGAAAUCUCCACUGCAGCGUCUCAGUGAAUUGCUCUAAUUGUCC